This 778-nucleotide ribosomal RNA is filed under the name uncultured Neocallimastigales. Its description in RNAcentral is "partial large subunit ribosomal RNA". It matches the Rfam family "Eukaryotic large subunit ribosomal RNA", at positions 23 to 620 of the family's 3401-position model. Lineage: Eukaryota; Fungi; Neocallimastigomycota; Neocallimastigomycetes; Neocallimastigales. The record is from RNAcentral.
AGAGAGAGACAUGCGCGCAUAUCAAUAAGCGGAGGAAAAGAAACUAACAAGGAUUCCCUUAGUAACGGCGAGUGAAGCGGGAAGAGCUCAAAUUUGAAAUCUUCAAGGUUUUACCUUGACGAAUUGUAGUUUAAAGAAGUGUUUUCUGCUGAAGUUUUGGUAAAAGUUCUUUGGAAUAGGACAUCAUAGAGGGUGAGAAUCCCGUAUUUGACCAUUAUUUUCAGCUUUGUGAUACACUUUCAAAGAGUCGGAUUGUUUGGGAAUGCAGUCCAAAAUGAGGUGGUAAAUUUCAUCUAAAGCUAAAUAUUGGCGAGAGACCGAUAGCGAACAAGUACCGUGAGGGAAAGAUGAAAAGGAACUUUGAAAAGAGAGUUAAACAGUACGUGAAAUUGUCAAAAGGGAAGCGUUUGACACCAGUGUUGUUUUCUCGAAAAUCAAUUAAAAAUGGCUCGACUUUUGUAUUGUUGAGACCUUAAAAGCUCACUGUACAUUUUUCGUGUCUUUUUUAAUGCACUUUUCGUUUAACAAGUCAACAUCAGUUUCUUUUGUUGUAAAAGGGUCAUUGGAAGGUGGCUUUCUUUUCGGAGAAAGUGUUUAUAGCCUUUGGCCUCUGCAAUCGGAAGAGACUGAGGUCUGCAGCGUAGACUCUUCGGGGUUAGAUACAUUUGUGCUAAGUUAUAGCUUUUUAUAGACAACUUGUUGACUAUAAUUAGUCUUGUAGCUUACUCGCUUAUGCUAUUUUACCUACGCUUAGGAUGUUGAAGAUGUAGCACAUCAU